Molecule: long non-coding RNA, 877 nt
Organism: Planococcus citri (citrus mealybug)
Lineage: Eukaryota; Metazoa; Arthropoda; Insecta; Hemiptera; Pseudococcidae
Exons: 3
Source: RefSeq, a predicted model, not a curated record
GAUAAUUUUUGAUAAAAAAAAACAUUAGUAAAAUUAUUUUGUAAUUUUGUAAUUUUGUAAUUAAACGACUAAUUACUUUAAAUUUUGACUUCAUCUGUUGGACCCUCCCUGCAAUUUUAUUCAUCUUUGUGUUCAUACUUUGUGAAUAUUUCAUCUACUAUGUACAUCAUUCUGUAUCAAUGUUCGUGCCCUGUUCUGAAGAAACCCUUUGAAAAUGUCUCCUUGGACGAAUUGUCACAUAAAAAUAUCUUGCAAGCAGCCCUGAUAGCCGAUGUCCACGUACUGGGUACUUGAAAAGGGCACUAAUGGUUCGAUAAAUUGCAAAAACAACCAUUUCCUGAUCUACGUAAAACGAUUGCUGAAAUCAACCUAAUCCUAGCUUCUCCAUGGCGCUUUUCACUGCAGAGAAAUGAGUGAUUUCUAAAUGUCACAUGUCCAACGAAUACAGAAUACUUCGUUUAGAGGGUUGCGCGUAAUUACUGCGAUAAUUAACGUUCUGUUUCCUUACUAUGCCCUAAAAUUUUAUGUCAAGAAAUUGGGAGCCAAAAUCCAGAAACAAAAAUGAAACUGACGUUCGUUUUUACCACGGUUAUUAUUCAUCUAGUCUUUUACACCAGUGUACUACUAGGUACAUAGCUAUAAGUACAUAUGAUUUUGUUUCAUGAGACUGAGUAGUAAAAAUAUUAUUCAAAGGUACUUAGUUGGACAUCCUUCAUCCCCCUUGUUCUAGUGUUUUCAAAAUUCAAUUGAAUAUAAUUAUUUGUUUGAAAUACGGAAUUUGGUACGUCAUUUAUCUAAUAAUUAUGCAUUCCAAAGUAUUUUUCAAGUUCAGUUUAUAUUUUCAAAGGUUCAUUUUAAUAAAACUAUUUGUGUAGAA